GCCCCGUGCUUGGUGUUGGACGGCUUGGUCGGUACAACGACCCCUCCCAAAGACAAUGACGGCGGCUGCGGCUCCCCCGGUACACUGAGCUUUUGCGAGCACGUAUCGGAUAAAAGGGUGCCCCACCACGUUCUUCUUCCUUUACCGGAAACUUUCUUCAGGUUGACCUCGGAUCAGGUAGGAAUACGCGCUGAACUUAA
Molecule: unclassified non-coding RNA, 200 nt
Filed under: soil metagenome
Description: partial contains internal transcribed spacer 2 and large subunit ribosomal RNA
Source: RNAcentral